GACAGGAUGUGCUGUGGUCUGCGCCCCUCCUUCCUCUGAUCCCCAGGAACCUCUCUGCGAGUGUGGGGUUCCUGAGGUGUCCUUGACCUUCAGAAUGAGAAAUGGAUGGUCCCUAUCUUUUAUCCAAGCAGGGUCAGCUUUUAGGUUGAAGUCACCUGUCCACAGGGAACAGAUGACAGCGGCUCAGCCUGGGACCCAUCUGUCUCCUGCUUCACCACAUUUGCCCCUCCUGCCAGCCUCGUGACCAUAAGCGACAGAACGGUUUCGUUGAAUUUUCUCACUGGGCCACGCUUCACUGCAAGGGAGGUGAGACAACAUGUUUUGACUCGGAGCAGACACCUGCCUUGAGAAAACAGAAGAAGUGGAGAACGGGUGUCAGGAAAAGCCCAGUCUGGUAUGUCCAACCUGCCUGAACGUGGUGAGUCAGGAAUAUGCUCCCUUCAAGGAACAGAAAUCCUGCCCCAACAGGGCUUCAGCAAACUAGGCUUUGCUUUUUAAGGACAACAAGGAGUGCUUGGUUGCUGGUGCAGUGUAGCCAUUUCAGAGAGGACCUUUGAGGGUUGGUUUCCAGUCUCAGAGUUGGUGCCUCAUGGACGGAAGAAGGCUGCUGAGGCUCCAUACAUCAUUUUCACAUUCAAGGCAGGAAGAAGGAUGAAGAGUACUGCCAGCCUGUAUGUCCCGCUUCAGCAGGAAAACAAAAGCUUUCCAUGGACACUCCUGGAAGGCCGCAUGUGGUACUCGUUGGUCAGGACUGGAUGUCUUGGCCUCUCUAUCUGCAAGGGAGUCUGCAAAACCAACCACUUAGCUUCCAGCUUCCCUAUUAGACAGUAGACCAAAAACAUCAAUACAGGAAUUCCUAUAUUGACAGUUAAUAUCACAGUCGUGCACAGAGACUUGUACCUGCUCAAACAUUGCAGGGUCACUUAUCACUGAAAAAUCACAAACAUCCUGCAUGUUCAACGUGCAUGUUUGGGUUCCAAUCAAUGGGUCAGUCAUUCAGUAAUAACCUGUGUUACUGCUUCUGGAAAAUAGAAGGAGUUUCCGUUGUGGGUCAGUGUGUUAAGUACCCGACACCAUGGUCCCUGAGGAUGCAGGUUCGAUCCCUGGCCUCGCUCAGUGGGUUAAGGAUCUGGUGUUGCCACAAGCUGCGGUGUAGGUUGCAGAUACCGCUCAGAUCCAGUGUAGCUGUGGCUGUGGUGCAGCCCGGCAGUUGCAGCUCUGAUUGGACCUCUAGCCUGGGAAGUUGCAUAGGCCACAGGUACGGCCCUAAAAAAGACAAUAGAAGAAAGUAUGAUUUACCUUGUCAUGAUUAUGUCAAGGUUAAGAUUAGGUCGUGUCUGGCCCUCAGCUGGUCCUUAGUCAAUUGUGAUGUAAUGUAUUCUGACCUCCAGACCUCCCACCACCUGCCCCAUCUUUUACCAACCAAAAAAAAAAAUAAAAAAUAAAAAAC
Molecule: long non-coding RNA, 1450 nt
Filed under: Sus scrofa (pig)
Lineage: Eukaryota; Metazoa; Chordata; Mammalia; Artiodactyla; Suidae
Description: lncRNA (ENSSSCG00000049918.1, ENSSSCG00035008863.1, ENSSSCG00055001140.1, ENSSSCG00065006045.1)
Source: RNAcentral